This 207-nucleotide ribosomal RNA is filed under the name uncultured bacterium. RNAcentral's name for it is "partial 16S ribosomal RNA". It matches the Rfam family "Bacterial small subunit ribosomal RNA", at positions 568 to 774 of the family's 1533-position model. The record is from RNAcentral.
AGCGCAGGCGGUUUCUUAAGUCUGAUGUGAAAGCCCCCGGCUCAACCGGGGAGGGUCAUUGGAAACUGGGAAACUUGAGUGCAGAAGAGGACAGUGGAACUCCAUGUGUAGCGGUGAAAUGCGUAGAUAUAUGGAAGAACACCAGUGGCGAAGGCGGCUGUCUGGUCUGCAACUGACGCUGAGGCUCGAAAGCAUGGGUAGCGAACA